RNAcentral lists this ribosomal RNA (590 nucleotides) under uncultured bacterium. Its description in RNAcentral is "bacterial SSU rRNA". It matches the Rfam family "Bacterial small subunit ribosomal RNA", at positions 338 to 945 of the family's 1533-position model. The record is from RNAcentral.
CCUACGGGAGGCAGCAGUGGGGAAUAUUGCACAAUGGGCGGAAGCCUGAUGCAGCGACGCCGCGUGAGGGAUGAAGGCCUUCGGGUUGUAAACCUCUUUCAGCAGGGACGAAGCGUGAGUGACGGUACCUGCAGAAGAAGCACCGGCUAACUACGUGCCAGCAGCCGCGGUAAUACGUAGGGUGCGAGCGUUGUCCGGAAUUACUGGGCGUAAAGAGUUCGUAGGCGGUUUGUCGCGUCGUUUGUGAAAACCCGGGGCUCAACUUCGGGCUUGCAGGCGAUACGGGCAGACUUGAGUGUUUCAGGGGAGACUGGAAUUCCUGGUGUAGCGGUGAAAUGCGCAGAUAUCAGGAGGAACACCGGUGGCGAAGGCGGGUCUCUGGGAACAACUGACGCUGAGGAACGAAAGCGUGGGUAGCAAACAGGAUUAGAUACCCUGGUAGUCCACGCCGUAAACGGUGGCGCUAGGUGUGGGUUCCUUCCACGGAAUCUGUGCCGUAGCUAACGCAUUAAGCGCCCGCCUGGGGAUCGGCCGCAGGCUAAACGUAAAUGAAUUGACGGCUGAGAGUUGCGAGCGACGACGAGGAGAGG